AUUGAACGCUGGCGGCAUGCCUUACACAUGCAAGUCGAACGGCAGCGGGGGAGAAGCUUGCUUUUCCUGCCGGCGAGUGGCGAACGGGUGAGUAAUACAUCGGAACGUGCCCUGUAGUGGGGGAUAACUAGUCGAAAGAUUAGCUAAUACCGCAUACGACCUGAGGGUGAAAGUGGGGGACCGCAAGGCCUCAUGCUAUAGGAGCGGCCGAUGUCUGAUUAGCUAGUUGGUGGGGUAAAGGCCUACCAAGGCGACGAUCAGUAGCUGGUCUGAGAGGACGAUCAGCCACACUGGGACUGAGACACGGCCCAGACUCCUACGGGAGGCAGCAGUGGGGAAUUUUGGACAAUGGGCGAAAGCCUGAUCCAGCAAUGCCGCGUGUGUGAAGAAGGCCCUCGGGUUGUAAAGCACUUUUGUCCGGAAAGAAAUGGCUCUGGUUAAUACCUGGGGUCGAUGACGGUACCGGAAGAAUAAGGACCGGCUAACUACGUGCCAGCAGCCGCGGUAA
Molecule: ribosomal RNA, 508 nt
Filed under: uncultured bacterium
Lineage: Bacteria
Description: partial 16S ribosomal RNA
Rfam family: Bacterial small subunit ribosomal RNA
Source: RNAcentral